This 344-nucleotide unclassified non-coding RNA is filed under the name soil metagenome. RNAcentral describes it as "partial contains 5.8S ribosomal RNA, internal transcribed spacer 2, and large subunit ribosomal RNA". The stretch from base 1 to 120 matches the Rfam family "5.8S ribosomal RNA", at positions 35 to 154 of the family's 154-position model. The record is from RNAcentral.
GAUGAAGAACGUAGCGAAAUGCGAUACGUAGUGUGAAUUGCAGAAUUCAGUGAAUCAUCGAAUCUUUGAACGCACAUUGCGCCCUUUGGUAUUCCAAAGGGCAUGCCUGUUCGAGCGUCAUUUGUACCCUCAAGCUUUGCUUGGUGUUGGGCGUUUUUGUCUUUGGCCCGCCAAAGACUCGCCUUAAAAUGAUUGGCAGCCGGCCUACUGGUUUCGCAGCGCAGCACAUUUUUGCGCUUGCAAUCAGCAAAAGAGGACGGCAAUCCAUCAAGACUCCUUCUCACGUUUGACCUCGGAUCAGGUAUGGAUACCCGCUGAACUUAAGCAUAUCAAUAAGCGGAGGA